Molecule: ribosomal RNA, 746 nt
Filed under: Cerrena unicolor
Lineage: Eukaryota; Fungi; Basidiomycota; Agaricomycetes; Polyporales; Cerrenaceae
Description: eukaryotic LSU rRNA
Rfam family: Eukaryotic large subunit ribosomal RNA
Source: RNAcentral
CAAAUCAGGUAGGACUACCCGCUGAACUUAAGCAUAUCAAUAAGCGGAGGAAAAGAAACUAACAAGGAUUCCCCUAGUAACUGCGAGUGAAGCGGGAAAAGCUCAAAUUUAAAAUCUGGCAGCCUUCGGUUGUCCGAGUUGUAGUCUGGAGAAGCGUUUUCCGCGCUGGACCGUGUAUAAGUCCCUUGGAAUAGGGCGUCAUAGAGGGUGAGAAUCCCGUCUUUGACACGGACUACCAGUGCUUUGUGAUGCGCUCUCAAAGAGUCGAGUUGUUUGGGAAUGCAGCUCAAAAUGGGUGGUAAAUUCCAUCUAAAGCUAAAUAUUGGCGAGAGACCGAUAGCGAACAAGUACCGUGAGGGAAAGAUGAAAAGCACUUUGGAAAGAGAGUUAAACAGUACGUGAAAUUGCUGAAAGGGAAACGCUUGAAGUCAGUCGCGUUAUGCAGAACUCAGCCUGGCUUUUGCUUGGUGUAUUUUCUGUAUGACGGGUCAGCAUCAAUUUUGAUCGCUGGAAAAAGGCCUCAGAAAUGUGGCACCUUCGGGUGUGUUAUAGUCUGGGGUCAUAUACAGCGGUUGGGAUUGAGGUCUGCAGCACGCCUUUAUGGCUGGGGUUCGCCCACAUUCGUGCUUAGGAUGCUGGCGUAAUGGCUUUAAACGACCCGUCUUGAAACACGGACCAAGGAGUCUAACAUGCCUGCGAGUGUUUGGGUGGAAAACCCGAGCGCGUAAUGAAAGUGAAAGUUGAGA